Molecule: non-coding RNA, 1253 nt
Organism: Podarcis lilfordi (Lilford's wall lizard)
Lineage: Eukaryota; Metazoa; Chordata; Lepidosauria; Squamata; Lacertidae
Source: the annotation of a GenBank genome assembly
UAAGAAUCUUGGUGAUGUGAAGGUCUAUCUUGGUGUUCAGAUAGAUAGGACCAAAAAUGGCAGUUUUCUACUGAAUCAAAAAGGCAAGAUAUUGCAAAUGUUGAAAAAGUUUAACAUGACGGAGUGUGCAGGUGUUAGAACACCAAUGGAAAUGGGUUUUGUAAAAGACAAUGAGUUCAAGGAUAGUGCUGAAUUCAAGCGUGCUGAAAUCUUUCAGUCAGCACUGGGAAGCUUACUUCAUCUUUCGCAAUGGAGUAGACCAGAUAUUGCUUACGCUGUUAACUUACUCAGCAGAGAAGUUUCGAAACCUAGUGUAAAUGCAUGGAAAGGAAUUCAAAGAGUGUUAAGAUAUUUACAAUACACCAAAGAUUUUUGCCUUGAAUUGUUUUCGGAAGGACAAGCACAGAUUACUUGUUGGGCAGAUAGUGAUUGGGCAAAUUUAAAGGAUAGAAAAUCAGUGUCUGGCUGUGUAAUAAAAUUUGGUAACUCUCUGAUUGGGUGGAGAUCCAAGAAACAGAACCUAAUUGCUUUGUCGUCAACAGAAGCUGAGUUCUGUGCCUUAUCUGAGUUAUGUAGAGAUCUAGAAUUUUACAAAUGCUUGGCACAAGAGAUGUAUGAAAAGGCCAUCACUCCAAUCACUGUGUGGGGUGAUAAUCAACCGUGUCUUAAGUUAGCACAAAAUGGGCAGUUUAAAGGUCGUACAAAACAUUUGGAUAUCCGCUUUCAAAAUGUUUGUCAAACGGUAAAAGCAGGAAUUGUUAAAUUAAAUUACUGUCCCAGUCAUGAAAAUCAAGCUGAUGGUUUUACAAAACCACUUGGGUUUCAGCGGCAUGAAAACUUUUGUGAAGAAAUGGGUCUGAAGUAAUUUUGGUUUUUUUUGUAUUGCCAGCGAGAGGGGGUGUUAGGGUGUGAAACCUAAGACGCUGGCAAGUUAGCAAUGUCAUGUGACUUUAAGUAGUCAAGCUCGUUAAGUUGUUAAGUUGCUCAGUAUAUAAAGUGUGUUUGUUUUCUCUGCCUGUGGGGUGUGAAGCAAAAAUGUCUGAAAGCUCCGGAGGUAUUUCUGUUAUCUUUCUGCAAUAAACCUGUCUUUGGAAAGACAGGCUUCCCUGUGUCGUUAUUUCUUUGCUGCUGAGACUCUGAAGCUUGUACUGCAACAAGAAUCUCUGCACUGGACUUAAUUAAUACUCUGCAAAGAGAGCUGUUGCUGGUGGCGCAGCGGAAGCGUUUACUGGACCAGUACACAAACUCUCUUA